This 654-nucleotide ribosomal RNA is filed under the name Demequina sp. Its description in RNAcentral is "bacterial SSU rRNA". It matches the Rfam family "Bacterial small subunit ribosomal RNA", at positions 316 to 980 of the family's 1533-position model. The record is from RNAcentral. Lineage: Bacteria; Bacillati; Actinomycetota; Actinomycetes; Micrococcales; Demequinaceae.
GAACUGAGACACGGUCCAGACUCCUACGGGAGGCAGCAGUGGGGAAUAUUGCACAAUGGGCGCAAGCCUGAUGCAGCGACGCCGCGUGGGGGAUGAAGGCCUUCGGGUUGUAAACCCCUUUCAGCAGGGAAGAAGCGAAAGUGACGGUACCUGCAGAAGAAGCGCCGGCUAACUACGUGCCAGCAGCCGCGGUAAUACGUAGGGCGCAAGCGUUGUCCGGAAUUAUUGGGCGUAAAGAGCUCGUAGGCGGUUCGUCGCGUCUGCUGUGAAAGCACGAGGCUCAACCUCGUGUCUGCAGUGGGUACGGGCGAACUAGAGUGUGGUAGGGGAGACUGGAAUUCCUGGUGUAGCGGUGGAAUGCGCAGAUAUCAGGAGGAACACCGAUGGCGAAGGCAGGUCUYUGGGCCACAACUGACGCUGAGGAGCGAAAGCGUGGGGAGCGAACAGGAUUAGAUACCCUGGUAGUCCACGCCGUAAACGGUGGGCACUAGAUGUGGGGCUCAUUCCAUGAGUUCCGCGUCGCAGCUAACGCAUUAAGUGCCCCGCCUGGGGAGUACGGCCGCAAGGCUAAAACUCAAAGGAAUUGACGGGGGCCCGCACAAGCGGCGGAGCAUGCGGAUUAAUUCGAUGCAACGCGAAGAACCUUACCAAGGC